UGUGCACCAGGUAGAUGGGACAGUAAUCGGGAAACGAAGAUUCAACGAGUGAGCGAACUUUCACCGAAGAUAGGGCGGAAAAAUAUGGCGCGUGAAUAUUUUUGUCAGCACCUCCCGUACGUAAAAGCCUUGCGUUUUAUUCAAAGCAGAAGUGUUUAAUGUUCCUCCAAGACCUUUCAAAGCGAAUAGUGAGCAAAAUACUACAGCUUUGUCAUUAUUAACACAAUGGAAAGCACGAACCCACUUCGAGGGAUUGAUUUUGAGGCACGGACGUGGAAAAUGUAUGAAAAAAAGACGGGCAACUUCGUUUUGAUAGAUGAAUUAGCAGUGAAAAUGGAGUCAAAAAGCUGAUUGGACUUGUAGAUUUGGGAAAAGAACAUGACCUCAUGAGAUCUUUGACCACAGGCGAAGAGAAGAUGCAUUUAAGAAAUGUUCAGAAGAACUCCAACUAUCAUCAUAUGAUGAAAAUGUCUGCAACACUACCAAUCAAGAUUUGUGUCCAGUUGUGGGUUUGCUGUCUCAAUGUGUGAAUGAAAGGAUCAAAAGAGGAUGUCUGCUGAUUACUCAAGAAAUCACUAUGGCUGUUCUUUGCUCUUCUGCAGGAGAAUUGAUUCUAGUUGAUAGUCAUUCACAUGCUCCUUUUGGAGCUGCAAUCUGUGGGCCAACACAAGAUGCAAGUGCUUUAGUGCAGUGGUAUCAAAACUCAUUCCAAAAAUAUCAUGGCAAUCCAGUUGGAAUUUCAUGUACGGUCACGUGGUUGGAAUUUAAUUUUCCAUAAAUAUACUUCAUAUAUGAACAUCACUUAGUG
Molecule: long non-coding RNA, 808 nt
Organism: Exaiptasia diaphana
Lineage: Eukaryota; Metazoa; Cnidaria; Anthozoa; Actiniaria; Aiptasiidae
Exons: 3
Source: RefSeq, a predicted model, not a curated record